CACGCACACACGCGCGGCAUAUCAAUAAGCGGAGGAAAAGAAACUAACUAGGAUUCCCUCAGUAACGGCGAGUGAAGCGGGAAGAGCUCAAAUUUGAAAUCUUCAAGGUUUUACCUUGACGAAUUGUAGUUUAAAGAAGUGUUUUCUGUUGGUGUUUUGGUAAAAGUUCUUUGGAAUAGGACAUCAUAGAGGGUGAGAAUCCCGUAUUUGACCAUUACUUCCAGCGUUGUGAUACACUUUCAAAGAGUCGGAUUGUUUGGGAAUGCAGUCCAAAAUGGGUGGUAAAUUUCAUCUAAAGCUAAAUAUUGGCGAGAGACCGAUAGCGAACAAGUACCGUGAGGGAAAGAUGAAAAGAACUUUGAAAAGAGAGUUAAACAGUACGUGAAAUUGUCAAAAGGGAAGCGUUUGACACCAGUGUUGUUUUUCCGAAAAUCAAUUACGAAUGUUUUGUUUUUAAGAAGUUAUGACUUCAUCGGCUUGCUUCUUUCUUUACGAAACUUUCUUAAUGCACUUUUCGGUUAACAAGUCAACAUCAAUUUCUUUUGUUGUAAAAGGGUAUGAGGAAGGUGGCUUUCACUUCGGUGAAAGUGUUUAUAGCCUUGUACCUCUGCAAUCGGAGAGAUUGAGGUCUGCAGCGUAGAUCCUUCGGGGUUAGAUACAUUUGUGCUAAGCUAUAGUUCUUUAUAGACAACUUGUUGACUAUAUCUAGUCCUGUAGCUUACUCGCUUAUGCUAUUUUACCUACGCUUAGGAUGUUGAUAGUCACAGCGUGUAC
This 774-nucleotide ribosomal RNA is filed under the name uncultured Neocallimastigales. RNAcentral describes it as "partial large subunit ribosomal RNA". The stretch from base 9 to 693 matches the Rfam family "Eukaryotic large subunit ribosomal RNA", at positions 24 to 664 of the family's 3401-position model. Lineage: Eukaryota; Fungi; Neocallimastigomycota; Neocallimastigomycetes; Neocallimastigales. The record is from RNAcentral.